GCAUAUCAAUAAGCGGAGGAAAAGAAACCAACAGGGAUUGCCCUAGUAACGGCGAGUGAAGCGGCAACAGCUCAAAUUUGAAAUCUGGCCUUUCAGGUCCGAGUUGUAAUUUGUAGAGGAUGCUUCGGCGUUGGACCCGACCUAAGUUCCUUGGAACAGGACGUCACAGAGGGUGAGAAUCCCGUACGUGGCCGGUGUCCCUCGCCAUGUGAAGCUCCUUCGACGAGUCGAGUUGUUUGGGAAUGCAGCUCUAAAUGGGAGGUAAAUUUCUUCUAAAGCUAAAUACUGGCCAGAGACCGAUAGCGCACAAGUAGAGUGAUCGAAAGAUGAAAAGCACUUUGGAAAGAGAGUUAAAAAGUACGUGAAAUUGUUGAAAGGGAAGCGCUUGCAAUCAGACCUGCCCGCGGUCGCUCAUCCAGGCUUCUGCCUGGUGCACUCUUCCGCGGUCAGGCCAGCAUCGGUUCGGGCGGUCGGACAAAGACGGCGGGAAUGUAGCUCCCCUCGGGGAGUGUUAUAGCCCGCCGUGUAAUGCGGCCAGUCCGGACCGAGGUCCGCGCUUCGGCUAGGAUGCUGGCGUAAUGGUUGUAAGCGGCCCGUCUUGAAACACGGACCAAGGAGUCUAACAUCUGUGCGAGUGUUUGGGUGUCAAGCCCGGACGCGUAAUGAAAGUGAACGGAGGCGGGAACCUUAGGGUGCACCGUCGACCGAUCCUGAUGUCUUCGGAUGGAUUUGAGUAAGAGCAUAGCUGUUGGGACCCGAAAGAUGGUGAACUAUGCCUGAAUAGGGUGAAGCCAGAGGAAACUCUGGUGGAGGCUCGCAGCGGUUCUGACGUGCAAAUCGAUCGUCAAAUUUGGGCAUAGGGGCGAAAGACUAAUCGAACUAUCUAGUAGCUGGUUCCUGCCGA
This 904-nucleotide ribosomal RNA is filed under the name Hysterobrevium smilacis. RNAcentral describes it as "LSU rRNA". It matches the Rfam family "Eukaryotic large subunit ribosomal RNA", at positions 38 to 964 of the family's 3401-position model. Lineage: Eukaryota; Fungi; Ascomycota; Dothideomycetes; Hysteriales; Hysteriaceae. The record is from RNAcentral.